GCCGGGUGUGGUGGCGGGUGCCUGUAAUCCCAGCUACUAGGGAGGCUGAGGCAGGAGAAUUGCUUGAGCCUGGGAGGCAGAAGUGUAGUGAGCUGACAUCAGGCCACUGCACUCCAGCCUGGGUGACAGAGUGAGACUCUGUCUCAA
This 147-nucleotide non-coding RNA is filed under the name Nomascus leucogenys (northern white-cheeked gibbon). Lineage: Eukaryota; Metazoa; Chordata; Mammalia; Primates; Hylobatidae. The record is from Rfam by way of RNAcentral.